This 775-nucleotide ribosomal RNA is filed under the name uncultured Neocallimastigales. RNAcentral's name for it is "partial large subunit ribosomal RNA". It matches the Rfam family "Eukaryotic large subunit ribosomal RNA", at positions 23 to 638 of the family's 3401-position model. Lineage: Eukaryota; Fungi; Neocallimastigomycota; Neocallimastigomycetes; Neocallimastigales. The record is from RNAcentral.
UGAGACUCUGUGCGCGUGCAUAUCAAUAAGCGGAGGAAAAGAAACUAACAAGGAUUCCCUUAAUAACGGCGAGUGAAGCGGGAAGAGCUCAAAUUUGAAAUCUUCAAGGUUCUACCUUGACGAAUUGUAGUUUAUAGAAGUGUUUUCUGUUAGUGGAGUGGCAAAAGUUCUUUGGAAUAGGACAUCAUAGAGGGUGAGAAUCCCGUAUUUGGUCAUUCCUCCUAGCGUUGUGAUACACUUUCAACGAGUCGGAUUGUUUGGGAAUGCAGUCCAAAAUGGGUGGUAAAUUUCAUCUAAAGCUAAAUAUUGGCGAGAGACCGAUAGCGAACAAGUACCGUGAGGGAAAGAUGAAAAGAACUUUGAAAAGAGAGUUAAACAGUACGUGAAAUUGUCAAAAGGGAAGCGUUUGACACCAGUGUUGUUUAGUUGAAAAUCAAUUCAAUAAUUUUUGAUUUUAAGUAGUAUUGACUUCAUCAGCUUGCUGCUUUCUUUUCCGAAAUUAUUGAAUGCACUUUUCAGUUAACAAGUCAACAUCAAUUUCUUUUGUUGUAAAAGGGUAAGAGGAAGGUGGCUUGCGCUUCGGCUCAAGUGUUUAUAGCCUUUUAUCUCCGCAAUCGGAGAGAUUGAGGUCUGCAGCGUAGAUCCUUCGGGGUUAGAUACAUUGGUGCUAAGCUAUAGCCUUGUAUAGACAACUUGUUGACUAUGCUCAGUCAUGUAACUUACUCGCUGACGCUAUUUUACCUACGCUUAGGAUGUUGACAGCAGUAUAGACUGU